This 100-nucleotide ribosomal RNA is filed under the name Carlito syrichta (Philippine tarsier). Lineage: Eukaryota; Metazoa; Chordata; Mammalia; Primates; Tarsiidae. The record is from RNAcentral.
GUCUUUGGCCAUACCACUCCGAACAUGCCUGAUCUUGUCUGCUCUCAGAAGCCAAGCAGGUUUUUGAUGGAAGAAAAAUAUCAUAAAGUCGUCAAAGGUC